Molecule: ribosomal RNA, 500 nt
Filed under: uncultured Glomeromycotina
Lineage: Eukaryota; Fungi; Glomeromycota
Description: partial small subunit ribosomal RNA
Rfam family: Eukaryotic small subunit ribosomal RNA
Source: RNAcentral
CCAAUAGCGUAUAUUAAAGUUGUUGCAGUUAAAAAGCUCGUAGUUGAAUUUCGGGGUUAGUAGGCUGGUCAUGCCUCUGGUAUGUACUGGUCUCACUGAUUCCUCCUUCCUGAUGAGCUGUAAUGCCACUAAUUUGGUGUUGCAGGGAAUCUGGACUGUUACUUUGAAAAAAUUAGAGUGUUUAAAGCAGGCUAACGCUUGAAUACAUUAGCAUGGAAUAAUGAAAUAGGACGUUCGAUCCUAUUUUGUUGGUUUCUAGGAUUGACGUAAUGAUUAAUAGGGAUAGUUGGGGGCAUUAGUAUUCAAUUGUCAGAGGUGAAAUUCUUGGAUUUAUUGAAGACUAACUACUGCGAAAGCAUUUGCCAAGGAUGUUUUCAUUAAUCAAGAACGAAAGUUAGGGGAUCGAAGACGAUCAGAUACCGUCGUAGUCUUAACCAUAAACUAUGCCGACUAGGGAUCGGAUGAUGUUAAUUUUUUAAUGACUCAUUCGGCGCCUUACG